CAAGAACCGAUGAUCGAGAAUAGUAAUUAAGAACCACAUGAAAAGAGAAGGAACGCCGUGGCUGAAAGCGUUUCUACAUGAUGACUUAAUGAAUGAACACUCAGUAGGUUUCACUCUGAAAAAGAACGAUGUCUUUAGUAGGAGCUGGACGUGUACAGGCGUUAACUGUUUGAGCGGGAGCAAAGUUUGCUUCAACUAGGGUGGCACCACGGGAUUAAUUACAUAACUCUCGUCCCUUUG
This 240-nucleotide non-coding RNA is filed under the name Bacillus sp. (in: firmicutes). Its description in RNAcentral is "Bacillus sp. T-box sequence". It matches the Rfam family "T-box leader". Rfam says of the family: Uncharged tRNA acts as the effector for transcription antitermination of genes in the T-box leader family. Lineage: Bacteria; Bacillati; Bacillota; Bacilli; Caryophanales; Bacillaceae. The record is from RNAcentral.